GCAAACCUCAAGUAUCCAUACGUGAAUCCAUAGCGUAUGGAAGGGAACGCUGUGAACUGAAACAUCUAAGUAGCAGUAGGAGGAGAAAGAAAACUCGAUUUCCUAAGUAGCGGCGAGCGAACGGGAAAGAGGCCAAACCGAAGGACCUGGUUCUUCGGGGUUGCGGACUGCAAUUAGCAUUGCUGAGAGAUAGACGAAUGGUUUUGGGAAAGCCAGCCGUAGACGGUGAAAGCCCGGUAGACGAAAUCUUGAAGCAGCGAGCAGGAUCCAGAGUACCACGAGACACGAGAAACCUUGUGGGAAGCCGGGGGGACCACCCCCCAAGCCUAAAUACUCCCUAGUGACCGAUAGUGAAGCAGUACUGUGAAGGAAAGGUGAAAAGGACCCCGGGAGGGGAGUGAAAGAGAACCUGAAACCUUGUGCUUACAAACAGUCAAAGGCCUACGGGCUGAUGGCGUACUUUUUGUAGAACGGUCCGGCGAGUUACUAAUGCCAGCGAGGUUAAGAUGUCAGAAGCAUCGGAGCCGAAGGGAAACCAAGUCUGAAUAGGGCGUAGAGUUGGUAUUAGUAGACCCGAAACCGGGUGACCUAUCCAUGUCCAGGUUGAAGGAACCGUAAAAGGUUUUGGAGGACCGAACACACAUGUGUUGAAAAACGUGGUGAUGAGGUGUGGAUAGCGGAGAAAUUCCAAUCGAACUCGGAGAUAGCUGGUUCUCCUCGAAAUAGCUUUAGGGCUAGCCUCGAGCUGGAGUCUAACGGAGGUAAAGCACUGAACUGACGCGGGGCCCAAAAAGGUUACCAACUCAUAUCAAACUAAGAAUGCCGUCAAGAUACCCUCGGGAGUCAGUCUGCGUGAGAUAAGUCGCGUGGACAAAAGGGAAAGAGCCCAGACCGACAGCUAAGGUCCCAAAGUACGUGUUAAGUGGAAAAGGAUGUGGGAUUUCAUAGACAACUAGGAUGUUGGCUUAGAAGCAGCCAUACAUUUAAAGAGUGCGUAAUAGCUCACUAGUCGAGAAAACCUGCGCCGAAAAUGUAACGGGGCUAAAACACGACACCGAAGCUACGGAUUUCCUACAAGGUAGGAAGUGGUAGAGGAGCAUCCUGCAAGGACGAAGCCAAAGUGAGAGCGAUGGUGGACGAAACAGGAGAGAGAAUGCCGGAAUGAGUAGCGAGAUACAUGUGAGAAACAUGUAGGCCGAAUAUCUAAGGAUUCCUGGGUAAAGCUAAUCUUCCCAGGGUUAGUCGGGGCCUAAGGCGAGGACGAAAGUCGUAGUCGAUGGAUAACAGGUUGAUAUUCCUGUACUACACAUAAUCAGAACUGUGGGGACGCAGGAGGAUAGGGAAACCGGGGAAUGGAAAGACCCGGUCAAGCGUAAAGCUGUGGGAGAUAGGCAAAUCCGUCUCCUGUAAGUGAAACGUGAUGAGGACUGAAAAAAAGUAAGGAAGUUUCCGAAUCCACACUGCCGAGAAAAGCCGCUAUUGCGUUAUGUGUACCCGUACCGUAAACCGACACAGGUAGAUGAGGAGAAAAUCCACAGGCCGACGGGAGAAGUGUUGUUAAGGAACUCGGCAAAAUGACCCCGUAACUUCGGGAUAAGGGGAGCCUCGCAAGAGGCCGCAGAAAAGAGGCACAAGCAACUGUUUAGCAAAAACAUAGGUCUAUGCGAAACCGUAAGGUGAAGUAUAUGGGCUGACGCCUGCCCGGUGCUGGAAGGUUAAAAGGAGAGGUCAGCGCAAGCGAAGCUUUGAAUUCAAGCCCCAGUAAACGGCGGCCGUAACUAUAACGGUCCUAAGGUAGCGAAAUUCCUUGUCAGGUAAGUUCUGACCCGCACGAAUGG
RNAcentral lists this ribosomal RNA (1838 nucleotides) under human gut metagenome. Its description in RNAcentral is "bacterial LSU rRNA". It matches the Rfam family "Bacterial large subunit ribosomal RNA", at positions 137 to 1999 of the family's 2925-position model. The record is from RNAcentral.